This 1483-nucleotide long non-coding RNA is filed under the name Salmo salar (Atlantic salmon). Its description in RNAcentral is "lncRNA (ENSSSAG00000107598.1)". Lineage: Eukaryota; Metazoa; Chordata; Actinopteri; Salmoniformes; Salmonidae. The record is from RNAcentral.
CAACAGGACUGGGUAUCAGAGGGUGUUAGGGUAUAUCCCAACAGAGGAGAGACAGGAGGCAACAGGACUGGGUAUCAGAGGGUGUGAAGUGAAGGUCAACAUGCAGGGAAACAUCUAUGCAGUUGUCUCUGUCCUCAAACUCUCUGUCAUAAAUAAGCCGAGGUGCAGCGUGCCGGUAAUUCCACAUACUUUAUUUAGAAGUGAAACCGAACAAAACAAUAAACAGGAUGAACAUCACACCCUGACCUAACCAAACUAGAGGAAAAUAAACGUCUCUAAGGUCAGGGCGUGACAACAGUAGUGAAGGACUGGUCAACAUGCAGGGAAGCAUCCAUAUAGUAGUGAAUCCCUGGUCAACAUGCAGGGAAACAUGUAUACAGUAGUGAAGGUCAACAUGCAGGGAAACAUCUAUACAGUAGUGAAGGUCAACGUGCAGGGAAACAUCUAUACAGUAGUGAAGGUCAACGUGCAGGGAAACAUCCAUAUAGUAGUGAAGGACUGGUAAACAUGCAAGGAAACAUCCAUAUAGUAGUGAAGGACUGGUAAACAUGCAGGGAAACAUCUAUACAGUAGUGAAGGUCAACGUGCAGGGAAACAUCCAUAUAGUAGUGAAGUACUGGUAAACAUGCAGGGAAACAUCUAUACAGUAGUGAAGGUCAACAUGCAGGGAAACAUCUAUACAGUAGUGAAAAUUCAACAUGCAGGGAAACAUCUAUACAGUAGUGAAGGUCAACAUGCAGGGAAACAUCUAUACAGUAGUGAAAGUCAACAUGCAGGGAAACAUCUAUACAGUAGUGAAGGUCAACAUACAGGGAAACAUCUAUACAGUAGUGAAGGUCAACAUGCAGGGAAACAUCCAUAUAGUAGUGAAGGUCAACAUGCAGGGAAACAUCCAUAUAGUAUUGAAGGACUGGUAAACAUGCAGGGAAACAUCUAUACAGUAGUGAAGAUCAACAUGCAGGGAAACAUCUAUACAGUAGUGAAGGUCAACAUGCAGGGAAACAUCCAUAUAGUAUUGAAGGGCUGAUCCACAUGCAGGAAAACAUCCAUAUAGUAGUGAAGUGCUGGUCCACAUGCAGGGAAACAUCUAUACAGUAGUGAAGGUCAACAUGCAUGGAAACAUCUAUACAGUAGUGAAGGUCAACAUGCAGGGAAACAUCCAUAUAUUAGUGAAAGUCAACAUGCAGGGAAACAUCUAUACAGUAGUGAAGGUCAACGUGCAGGGAAACAUCCAUAUAGUAGUGAAAUGCUGGUCAACAUGCAGGGAAACAUCUAUACAGUAGUGAAGGUCAACAUGCAGGGAAACAUCCAUAUAGUAGUGAAGGUCAACAUGCAGGGAAACAGCUAUACAGUAGUGAAGAUCAACGUGCAGGGAAACAUCCAUAUAGUAGUGAAGGUCAGCAUGCAGGGAAACAUCUAUACAGUAGUGAAGGUCAACAUGCAGGGAAACAUCUAUACAGUAGUGAAGGUAAACAUGCAGGGA